AUUGAACGCUGGCGGCAUGCUUUACACAUGCAAGUCGAACGGCAGCAUGGGUGCUUGCACCUGAUGGCGAGUGGCGAACGGGUGAGUAAUGUAUCGGAACAUAUCCGCAAGUGGGGGAUAACGUAGCGAAAGUUACGCUAAUACCGCAUAUUCCCUGAGGGGGAAAGGAGGGGAUCCGCAAGGACCUUUCGCUUAUGGAGUGGCCGAUAUCAGAUUAGCUAGUUGGUGGGGUAAAGGCCUACCGAGGCGACGAUCUGUAGCGGGUCUGAGAGGAUGAUCCGCCACACUGGGACUGAGACACGGCCCAGACUCCUACGGGAGGCAGCAGUGGGGAAUUUUGGACAAUGGGGGCAACCCUGAUCCAGCCAUGCCGCGUGAGUGAAGAAGGCCUUCGGGUUGUAAAGCUCUUUCAGCUGGAACGAAAAGGUUUGGGCUAAUAAGCUGAGCUCAUGACGGUACCGUAAGAAUAAGCACCGGCUAACUACGUGCCAGCCGCCGCCGUAA
This 504-nucleotide ribosomal RNA is filed under the name uncultured bacterium. RNAcentral describes it as "partial 16S ribosomal RNA". It matches the Rfam family "Bacterial small subunit ribosomal RNA", at positions 30 to 523 of the family's 1533-position model. The record is from RNAcentral.